UACGAAGGGUGCAAGCGUUACUCGGAAUUACUGGGCGUAAAGCGCGCGUAGGUGGCCAUGUAAGUCCGCUGUGAAAGUCAAAGGCUCAACCUUUGAAAGCCGGUGGAUACUGCAUGGCUAGAGUACGGAAGAGGCGAGUGGAAUUCCUGGUGUAGCGGUGGAAUGCGCAGAUAUCAGGAGGAACACCGGUGGCGAAGGCGGGUCUCUGGGCCGAUACUGACGUGAGGAGCGAAAAGCGUGGGGGAGCGAAACAGG
Molecule: ribosomal RNA, 255 nt
Filed under: uncultured bacterium
Lineage: Bacteria
Description: partial 16S ribosomal RNA
Rfam family: Bacterial small subunit ribosomal RNA
Source: RNAcentral